Molecule: long non-coding RNA, 925 nt
Filed under: Amborella trichopoda
Lineage: Eukaryota; Viridiplantae; Streptophyta; Magnoliopsida; Amborellales; Amborellaceae
Description: long non-coding RNA (ATRI_LNC001942)
Source: RNAcentral
AAAUUGAGCUAAUAACGGUAUAUAUCGCUGAUAAUAAGUAUAUACAUGGUCAUAUACCUUAGUGUGAGUGUGAGUAUGUGUGUGUGUUUGGUGUGCAUAUGUGUAUGUGUUAAGAAAAAGUUACAUAAUAAAAUUGCAAACUACAAGUAAACCAUCAGAAAAUUCACACCAUAUUUGCAUGAAAGAAGUAAGAGCAGUAAUACUAUACUAGAGAAGAAAGAACCAUUAAGCAAAUCAAGCUAGCAAGAUGAAGAUAUCAAAUAUCGAAUAACGUAAGGAGAUCCGCCUUAAUGAUAAGUUGCAUCAAGCUUGUUAAUUUACAAGAAAACUCGAUGAAGAUGAAGCUCAUCAAUAAUAAUAAAAACAAGUACAAAUAAGAUAAAAAAUUAACAAGAAUUAUCACAAUUGCGUAUUUAGCAUACCCAAUUCAUCAAGAGAACAAACCCAUUCUUAUGCUUAAUUCUAUACAAAGUAAUAUGGAAUUUCGCCGAGGCAUAUCAGAUUAGAGGUGAGUUUGAGUGUGAGUGUGAGCAUGAGCGUGAGUAUGAGUGUGAGUGUGAGCGUGAGCAUGAGUGUGUGUGUGAGUGCGAGGUGUGAGUGUGAGUGCGAGUGCGAGUGCGAGUGUGAGUGUGUGUGUGAGUGCGAGUGUGUGUGUGUAUGUAUGAGUGUGAGUGUGAGUGUGAGUAUGAGAGCGUGUGUGUGUGUAAUAUAUAAAUCAACGUACGUAUACGUUAAUAAAGGUAUAAACUAAUAAUAAGUGUAUAGAUGGUCAUAUACAUCAAUGUAUAUAGAAAUAUAUAUACUAAUGCAUUCUACAUAUACAGUUAUGCACUUUAUACAUACACAAAAAUCCGUAUAUACACAUCGUAUAUAUAUAGACAUCACACACACACAUAUCAAUGUAUUUUUACACCCUAGAAAUUUU